RNAcentral lists this ribosomal RNA (233 nucleotides) under uncultured bacterium. RNAcentral describes it as "partial 16S ribosomal RNA". It matches the Rfam family "Bacterial small subunit ribosomal RNA", at positions 118 to 349 of the family's 1533-position model. The record is from RNAcentral.
CGGGCAACCUGCCCUCAGCUCUGGGAUAACUCCGGGAAACCGGUGCUAAUACUGGAUAUCGACUUCUGCCUCGCAUGGGGUGUUGUUGAAAGUUUUUCGGCUGGGGAUGGGCCCGCGGCCUAUCAGCUUGUUGGUGUGGGUAAUGGCCCACCAAGGCGACGACGGGUAGCCGGCCUGAGAGGGUGACCGGCCACACUGGGACUGAGACACGGCCCAGACUCCUACGGGAGGCG